This 218-nucleotide ribosomal RNA is filed under the name uncultured Bacillota bacterium. RNAcentral's name for it is "uncultured Firmicutes bacterium partial 16S ribosomal RNA". It matches the Rfam family "Bacterial small subunit ribosomal RNA", at positions 28 to 233 of the family's 1533-position model. The record is from RNAcentral. Lineage: Bacteria; Bacillati; Bacillota.
GACUAACGCUGGCGGCAUGCCUAAUACAUGCAAGUCGUGCGGAUGCUUCAAGGAGCUUGCUCCUUGAAGUGUUAGCGGCGGAUGGGUGAGUAACACGUGGGCAACCUGCCCUGCAGAUGGGGAUAACUCCGGGAAACCGGGCUAAUACCGAAUAAACAGUUUGUCCGCAUGGACAAACUCUGAAAGACGGUUUCGGCUGUCACUGUAGGAUGGGCCCG